GCGUUUGUGGGCAAGUGGUACGCUUCCACACUUUUAUGAAAUGUGGCUAUCGCGGGUUCGAUCCCCGCCGGACGCU
Molecule: non-coding RNA, 76 nt
Organism: Cutaneotrichosporon oleaginosum
Lineage: Eukaryota; Fungi; Basidiomycota; Tremellomycetes; Trichosporonales; Trichosporonaceae
Source: the annotation of a RefSeq genome assembly